CUGAAAUCGCUGAUAGUAAAAUUAAGGCAGUUGA
This 34-nucleotide small RNA is filed under the name Bombyx mori (domestic silkworm). RNAcentral's name for it is "ovarian small RNA-14808". Lineage: Eukaryota; Metazoa; Arthropoda; Insecta; Lepidoptera; Bombycidae. The record is from RNAcentral.